This 72-nucleotide transfer RNA is filed under the name Erotelis cf. armiger NMBE 1066560. RNAcentral's name for it is "tRNA-Val". It matches the Rfam family "tRNA". From Rfam's summary of the family: Transfer RNA (tRNA) molecules are approximately 80 nucleotides in length. Their secondary structure includes four short double-helical elements and three loops (D, anti-codon, and T loops). The record is from RNAcentral. Lineage: Eukaryota; Metazoa; Chordata; Actinopteri; Gobiiformes; Eleotridae.
CAGAGCGUAGCUAAAUCAACAAAGCCCCUCCCUUACACCGAGAAGACGCCUGUGCAAAUCAGGCCGCACUGA